UUGUUUAAAGUAUGCUCAUAUCUUGUCAACUGUCUGAAAUGGGCCAUUUUGAUUAUCACUAAAUUUUUUUUCUCCUGCUGAUAAUUCAUCUUAAUGAAUUAGCAUCUUAGAGUUGGUAAGGCAACUUCCACCUUUUCGUGUUCUCUCUCUGU
Molecule: long non-coding RNA, 152 nt
Organism: Dermochelys coriacea (leatherback sea turtle)
Lineage: Eukaryota; Metazoa; Chordata; Testudines; Dermochelyidae
Exons: 3
Source: RefSeq, a predicted model, not a curated record